UACGUAGGGUGCAGGCGUUAAUCGGAAUUACUGGGCGUAAAGCGUGCGCAGGCGGUUGGGCAAGACAGAUGUGAAAUCCCCGGGCUUAACCUGGGAACUGCAUUUGUGACUGCACGGCUAGAGUGUGUCAGAGGGGGGUAGAAUUCCACGUGUAGCAGUGAAAUGCGUAGAUAUGUGGAGGAAUACCGAUGGCGAAGGCAGCCCCCUGGGAUAACACUGACGCUCAUGCACGAAAGCGUGGGGAGCAAACAGG
This 253-nucleotide ribosomal RNA is filed under the name uncultured bacterium. Its description in RNAcentral is "partial 16S ribosomal RNA". It matches the Rfam family "Bacterial small subunit ribosomal RNA", at positions 524 to 776 of the family's 1533-position model. The record is from RNAcentral.